This is a long non-coding RNA of Syzygium oleosum, 1162 nucleotides long. RefSeq lists it as uncharacterized. The transcript is spliced from 2 exons. NCBI's taxonomy places the organism in Eukaryota, Viridiplantae, Streptophyta, Magnoliopsida, Myrtales, Myrtaceae. The record is from RefSeq and is a predicted model, not a curated record.
UUUGAUCCGCCUGGUCACGCGGUCCAAUUACAAAGGGCAUUCUCGCCAAUUUAGGGGAAGGGAUUAUUUUGCUGGUCUUCGACAAAAGGUAAGAGGGUUAAAGAAGUAAAAUUGCCUCAUUAAAGAUUUCCUAUAUCUUAAGCCCAUGUGGUUCAUCCUUUGGGGCAAGAGAAAAGGGAAAGCUUUGUUCAAGUGCAGGGACUAGUAGAGCUUGAAGAAGAGAAACGCAUCGGUUCACGACGAAUCACCGAGGCGUGAAGGUAAUCAAAUCCUCCGUUUGUACGGCCUUCUGGGCACUCGGGAACAACUCGAUCUUUUCAAAGGUAACUUGUUCUCAAACACAAAAUCCGUUUUACAGUAAAUUUAUCACUGUGCUGCUCCUCCAGAAAAGCCCAACCUUCAUUCUUUAGUUCAAUACCAUCGAUAUAAAUAAGACACUUAAAAAAAAUACAGAUCCCCAUUUCGAAAUUGUCAUCACAUAUAUUGCUUAUUUUUCUUAUUACAUUCUUUUCAUUAAAACCGGUUGGUAUAAAUUGUUGGAUAUGUUGAACCCAGUAGUAUAGCAUUUUGGCCCUCACUCCACGGUUCCAUACCUCGCACACAAAGUGCAUGAAAUGGGGAUUCGACGGAGUGCAAAUUUAUGUGAAGCUAAAUACGGAUAAAAAUACAAGAUUGCAAGAAAAAUAUAAAUUCUAUUGAAAAUGUAAAUUGCGAGAAAAGCAAAUUGAUGUAAUGAAAAAGUAGAUACAAACGUAGAUUGUAGGUUUGCUUGAUUGUCGAAAUGGAGAGCUUUACACCUCUCUUGCAACUUCCAACUUUAAGGACGAAUACUAAAACGUGCAACUUCCCUGUACAUCUCUAAAGCUACAAGUUCUUUAUGCUUCUUGGCCGAGUUUCUCCAUCAGAUCAACUAAGUCAAUUCAUUUCAUUCUUUUAAGGCUACAAGAUAACAAAUUAUCAAAGUGAGAACGAACGUUACAUCAAACAUAGCCAAAAUUGACAUAUUAGUAAAAAUUGGAUACCAACAAUUUACUAUAAAUGUUUUUGUAUUAGCCCACUUUUGUUUGUGUCGACAUGUGUUCGGUUCGUAUUUGAUAAUCUUGAACUGUGUAACAUUCACUAGACUAUACUAUAUAUUUCCUUGUUUGCGCAUUUGCUCGAA